Molecule: unclassified non-coding RNA, 160 nt
Filed under: uncultured Tremellales
Lineage: Eukaryota; Fungi; Basidiomycota; Tremellomycetes; Tremellales
Description: sequence contains ITS1
Source: RNAcentral
GAAAAAUAAACUGGGUGGUGGUCGACGUCGCAAGACUAGACCCUACCUUUUUAUCCACACACCUGUGCACUGUAGAGCCUUUGAUCUUUAUUGGUCGGGGUUCGCCCUUUAUAACAAACAUUAGUAGUCCUUAAACGUAACGUCUUAUUAUAACCUAAUA